Molecule: ribosomal RNA, 491 nt
Filed under: uncultured soil bacterium
Lineage: Bacteria
Description: bacterial SSU rRNA
Rfam family: Bacterial small subunit ribosomal RNA
Source: RNAcentral
AGGACGAACGCUGGCGGCGUGCUUAACACAUGCAAGUCGAGCGGAAAGGCCUUUCGGGGUACUCGAGCGGCGAACGGGUGAGUAACACGUGAGUAAUCUGCCCAUCGCUUCAGGAUAGCCAUCGGAAACGGUGAUUAAUACUGGAUAUGACAUUCCUUCGCAUGUUGGGGUGUGGAAAGUUUUUUCGGCGGUGGAUGUGCUCGCGGCCUAUCAGCUUGUUGGUGGGGUAAUGGCCUACCAAGGCUUUGACGGGUAGCCGGCCUGAGAGGGUGACCGGCCACACUGGGACUGAGACACGGUCCAGACUCCUACGGGAGGCAGCAGUGGGGAAUAUUGGACAAUGGGCGAAAGCCUGAUCCAGCCAUGCCGCGUGUGUGAAGAAGGUCUUCGGAUUGAAAGCACUUUAAGUGGAGGAAGGUUGUAACUUAAUACGUUGCAACUUUGACGUUACCGACAGAAUAAGCACCGGCUAACUUCGUGCCAGCAGCCGC